GCGCUGCGUCAGUCGCCCACGGUGGCAGCGGCAGCGGCAGCCCCGCGAUGGCUAAGGAAUGCGGCGGCUCCGCAUAACCACGGGGUCAGAGGUCACGGCUCCGGCCUCCGCGUUCCCGCGCUGCUGGGAAACCCAAGAGCGAACUAGUGGCGGGCGGGCCCGGAUGGCGAGACGCGGCUUUCCUUUCGACGCUCGGAUGCGUGCGUGUCUGCCGUGGAGAAUGCACCUGCAGUUUCCAGCAGCGUUGCCGCCAGGUGAAUUUGAUGAUCCGAUAGUAGGUGACCUUUGAAAGUUAACAGGGGUGCCAUGGGCUGAGUAAGAUAAACGGAACUGCUGUUCAACCCCGCCCAGUCUGGGGAUGAGUCAUUGUUUUCAAAUUUAUGAACAAAGCACACAAAUUAAGAAUAAUACAAGCAAGAAACAGCAGAGAGACACAAAAGGACAUAGAAUCCCUGAUCCUCACUGUGAUCUGGUAACACUAGUUCUAGGGCUGGAGAGAGAGAUGCUCAGGGCAAGUGCUCUUACAGAGAACAUGAGUUCAAUUCCCAGAACCCACAUGGUACCUCACAACUGCCUAUUUCAUACAUGUGGGGCAGAACACCGAUACACAUACUUUUUUUUUUAAGAAUUGAAAAAAAAAAAAAAUUGGUUCUGGACUCCAGUGGGUCUGAGUUUGAAACCGUAGCUGUUCUCCAGUUGUGUGGCCUUGAAUAAGUUAUGCAACUUCAUCAACCAAGCACUGUCAUUGGACAGCAGAGAAUAUGACAAAAGUCAACGGGCGAUCUGAACAAGUGGCACAUGCUUGCAUACUUGGAUGACACAGUUCGAGAAGCACUUGAACCCUGAAGUUUACAAACAGCCUCGAUAACACAGGAAGACCCCAUCUCAGAAGAAUAGAUGAGAUCACUAUUUCUCAGCUUCAGCAUUGCAGAUGAUCAGCUAAUGUGGAACUCUCCAGCCCCUUUGCACAUUGCAUUUCUUUGCAUGGCUUUUGGUUGGUAACUAUACAUUUGGCAUCUGUUUGGAUUUUUUUUCUGUAUACCCCAAAUGCCAGCCAUAGUCUUGGGCAUAUAGUAGGCAGUCAAACUGUUGGUGUAUGAACCAUUCUCAGUAAUUCUUUUGUUGUAGACAGUCUCUGAGGAAUUAUCCCCUAUUGAAUGGUCUCAUAACAGUUUUGGAAAGCGCUCAUGUAGGGAAAAAACUAAGAUAAGAUUUUACCCAGGAAGGUCUCCACAAGUGCAAAGUAGAGACUUCAGGACAUUCCCAGUCUCGUUGUGUUGCCAAAUCUACCCUCACAAUGCAUGACUUAACUCAUAAAUCCUGGGCCAGUCACAGUUUUUUAAAUUCUACUCUUUAGUCUCCCAUGCUCUGGAGAAGGUAUUUAAAUUGCCAAAAUGUUUAACAAUAGUUCUCUAGGUUUUAUAAGACUAGUUAGUUUACUGGUAAUUUUUCUGUACAAAAAAAUUGCAUUGGGCUGGUGAGAUGGCUCAGUGGGUAAGAGCACCCAACUGCUCUUCUGAAGGUCUGAAGUUCAAAUCCCAGCAACCACAUGGUGGCUCACAACCAUCCAUAAUGAGAUCUAACUCCCUCUUCUGGAGUGUCUGAAGACAACUACAGUGUACUUACAUAUAAUAAAAAUAAAUAAAUCUUUAAAAAAAA
RNAcentral lists this long non-coding RNA (1659 nucleotides) under Mus musculus (house mouse). RNAcentral describes it as "RIKEN cDNA 2500004C02 gene". The record is from RNAcentral. Lineage: Eukaryota; Metazoa; Chordata; Mammalia; Rodentia; Muridae.